GGAUGUGAGGGCGAUCUGGCUGCGACAUUUGUCACCCCAUUGAUCGCCAGGGUUGAUUCGGCUGAUCUGGCUGGCUAGGCGGGUGUAUGCUUCCUCCCUCACAGCUCCAAGUGCGUCGGUCCGGAAGCAGCGCGUUACGUCGAAGAGGAUGACCUUCCCUGAUAGAGGAGGACCGUUUUUCCAUCAAGGGUAUACGAGUAGCUGUGCUCCCCUGCUAGAACUAGGAGAAGGUAGGGUAGUCAAGCUUCCAAGACUCCAGACACAUCCAAAUGAGGUGCUGCACGUGGCAGUCUGCUUUUCUUU
Unclassified non-coding RNA from Panthera pardus (leopard), 303 nucleotides. Its record names the gene 7SK. It matches the Rfam family "7SK RNA". Rfam says of the family: 7SK was discovered as an abundant small nuclear RNA in the mid-70s but a possible function has only recently been suggested. Two independent studies have found that 7SK RNA binds the CDK9/cyclin T complex (known as elongation factor P-TEFb). NCBI's taxonomy places the organism in Eukaryota, Metazoa, Chordata, Mammalia, Carnivora, Felidae. The record is from Ensembl.